GUGAGUAGUUCAGAGUUUGAUCCUGGCUCAGGACGAACGCUGGCGGCGUGCCUAACACAUGCAAGUCGAACGGAGAGUAUAUGAACAAGACUUCGGUCAAGUGAGUAUAUUCCUUAGUGGCGGACGGGUGAGUAACGCGUGAGCAAUCUGCCUUUCAGAGGGGGAUAACGUUCUGAAAAGAACGCUAAUACCGCAUAACGUACCGAGAUGGCAUCAUUUUGGUACCAAAGGAGCAAUCCGCUGAAAGAUGAGCUCGCGUCUGAUUAGAUAGUUGGUGGGGUAACGGCCUACCAAGUCGACGAUCAGUAGCCGGACUGAGAGGUUGAACGGCCACAUUGGGACUGAGACACGGCCCAG
RNAcentral lists this ribosomal RNA (357 nucleotides) under uncultured bacterium. RNAcentral describes it as "bacterial SSU rRNA". It matches the Rfam family "Bacterial small subunit ribosomal RNA", at positions 1 to 334 of the family's 1533-position model. The record is from RNAcentral.